RNAcentral lists this ribosomal RNA (586 nucleotides) under uncultured bacterium. RNAcentral describes it as "bacterial SSU rRNA". It matches the Rfam family "Bacterial small subunit ribosomal RNA", at positions 338 to 916 of the family's 1533-position model. The record is from RNAcentral.
CCUACGGGAGGCAGCAGUAGGGAAUCUUCCACAAUGGGCGAAAGCCUGAUGGAGCAACGCCGCGUGAGUGAUGAAGGCCUUCGGGUUGUAAAACUCUGUCAUUCGGGACGAACCGGAGUCUGAGGAAAUGCAGACUCUCUGACGGUACCGGAGGAGGAAGCCCCGGCUAACUACGUGCCAGCAGCCGCGGUAAUACGUAGGGGGCAAGCGUUGUCCGGAUUCACUGGGCGUAAAGCGCGCGCAGGCGGUGAUGUAAGUCUGAGGUGAAAACCCGAAGCUCAACUUCGGGACUGCCUUGGAUACUGCGUCACUUGAGGAUAGGAGAGGCAAGGGGAAUUCCACGUGUAGCGGUGAAAUGCGUAGAGAUGUGGAGGAACACCUGUGGCGAAGGCGCCUUGCUGGCCUAUUCUGACGCUGAGGCGCGAAAGCGUGGGGAGCAAACAGGAUUAGAUACCCUGGUAGUCCACGCUGUAAACGAUGAGUGCUAGGUGUAGGUGGGCUCAUACCCAUCUGUGCCGAAGCUAACGCAUUAAGCACUCCGCCUGGGGAGUACGGUCGCAAGACUGAAACUCAAAGGAAUUGACGG